RNAcentral lists this ribosomal RNA (254 nucleotides) under uncultured bacterium. Its description in RNAcentral is "partial 16S ribosomal RNA". It matches the Rfam family "Bacterial small subunit ribosomal RNA", at positions 524 to 776 of the family's 1533-position model. The record is from RNAcentral.
UACAGAGGGUGCAAGCGUUGUUCGGAUUUACUGGGCGUAAAGGGCGCGUAGGCGGUCGUGACAAGUCACUUGUGAAAUCUCCGGGCUUAACCCGGAGCGGUCAAGUGAUACUGUCGGACUAGAGUACAGAAGGGGCAACUGGAAUUCUCGGUGUAGCGGUGAAAUGCGUAGAUAUCGAGAGGAACACCUGCGGCGAAGGCGGGUUGCUGGGCUGAUACUGACGCUGAGGCGCGAAAGCCAGGGGAGCGAACGGG